RNAcentral lists this ribosomal RNA (541 nucleotides) under Neofusicoccum parvum. Its description in RNAcentral is "eukaryotic LSU rRNA". The stretch from base 182 to 335 matches the Rfam family "5.8S ribosomal RNA". Lineage: Eukaryota; Fungi; Ascomycota; Dothideomycetes; Botryosphaeriales; Botryosphaeriaceae. The record is from RNAcentral.
UAAACGGGGCUGAUUCGAGCUCGGCUCGACUCUCCCACCCAAUGUGUACCUACCUCUGUUGCUUUGGCGGGCCGCGGUCCUCCGCACCGGCGCCCUUCGGGGGGCUGGCCAGCGCCCGCCAGAGGACCAUAAAACUCCAGUCAGUGAACUUCGCAGUCUGAAAAACAAGUUAAUAAACUAAAACUUUCAACAACGGAUCUCUUGGUUCUGGCAUCGAUGAAGAACGCAGCGAAAUGCGAUAAGUAAUGUGAAUUGCAGAAUUCAGUGAAUCAUCGAAUCUUUGAACGCACAUUGCGCCCCUUGGUAUUCCGAGGGGCAUGCCUGUUCGAGCGUCAUUUCAACCCUCAAGCUCUGCUUGGUAUUGGGCCCCGUCCUCCACGGACGCGCCUUAAAGACCUCGGCGGUGGCGUCUUGCCUCAAGCGUAGUAGAAAACACCUCGCUUUGGAGCGCACGGCGUCGCCCGCCGGACGAACCUUUGAAUUAUUUCUCAAGGUUGACCUCGGAUCAGGUAGGGAUACCCGCUGAACUUAAGCAUAUCAG